This 429-nucleotide ribosomal RNA is filed under the name Acidobacteriota bacterium. RNAcentral's name for it is "Acidobacteria bacterium partial 16S ribosomal RNA". It matches the Rfam family "Bacterial small subunit ribosomal RNA", at positions 355 to 776 of the family's 1533-position model. Lineage: Bacteria; Pseudomonadati; Acidobacteriota. The record is from RNAcentral.
UGGGGAAUUUUGGACAAUGGGGGAAACCCUGAUCCAGCCAUCCCGCGUGUGCGAUGAAGGCCUUCGGGUUGUAAAGCACUUUUGGCAGGAAAGAAACGUCAUGGGUUAAUACCCCGUGAAACUGACGGUACCUGCAGAAUAAGCACCGGCUAACUACGUGCCAGCAGCCGCGGUAAUACGUAGGGUGCAAGCGUUAAUCGGAAUUACUGGGCGCAAAGCGUGCGCAGGCGGUUCGGAAAGAAAGAUGUGAAAUCCCAGAGCUCAACUUUGGAACUGCAUUUUUAACUGCCGGGCUAGAGUGUGUCAGAGGGAGGUGGAAUUCCGCGUGUAGCAGUGAAAUGCGUAGAUAUGCGGAGGAACACCGAUGGCGAAGGCAGCCUCCUGGGAUAACACUGACGCUCAUGCACGAAAGCGUGGGGAGCAAACAGG